UCAAAUUAGGCUUCCAAAAGGCCCUCCACUGCCUAUCAGAGACGGUCCAAGGGUCAAAUGCCCUCUCGCUGCGAACAAAACCGAAACGGCGUCAAUAUGCUUGUAUAUAAGCUAUAUUAGUCGAAAUCUAGAAAUUUCAGUUUUCUAGCUGAAAUUCUUGCUUACCCUGGGUCAGAACACCUACUAAACCAACUCCCGAGGUCACCAAUUAGGCCCAAUGUGAAUUGGGAACCUGCUGCGAAGAAGUAAGUUCCAAACUGCAUCAAAUGCCCGAGUAAACUUCGUAUAGUUCCGAACUAGCUUCAUAAUUAGCUAAAUAUUCCAUUAAGCUUCCAAGUAGCUUAGCCCUGGUCUAAGGAGGUUAAUCCAUAGCUAAUUAAUCCAACUGUAAUUACUGAAAUCUCAGAUUAACCCAACUAGAAGCAACAAUCCCGAAACUAUACAUAACUCGUCCAAUAGAUUGCCGAAAAUUGAAAAAGUGAGCCGAUUACCUUCUCAAGCUUGCAACCAGUGAGUUACUGGUCCAGGGCUGCGAAAAGCUCUCCAAAACACUCCCUCACACGUCCACCAAGGCUCAGCGACACUCCCAAACAGCGAAGAGCGAGCUCGGCGACGA
RNAcentral lists this long non-coding RNA (616 nucleotides) under Ananas comosus (pineapple). Its description in RNAcentral is "long non-coding RNA (ACOM_LNC016475)". The record is from RNAcentral. Lineage: Eukaryota; Viridiplantae; Streptophyta; Magnoliopsida; Poales; Bromeliaceae.